AGUCAUAUGCUUGUCUCAAAGAUUAAGCCAUGCAUGUCUAAGUAUACACCUUUACACGGUGAGACUGCGAAUGGCUCAUUAAAUCAGCAAUAGUUUCUUUGGUGGUGACCUACUACAUGGAUAGCCGUAGUAAUUCUAGAGCUAAUACAUGCGUAAAUCUCGACUCACGAAGAGACGUAUUUAUUAGAUAAAGACCGACCUCGUUCUGCGGUGAAUCAUAAUAACUUCACGGACCGCAUGGCUUUACGCCGGCGGUGUUCCAUUCAAAUUUCUGCCCUAUCAACUUUCGACGGUAGGAUAGAGGCCUACCGUGGUGUUCACGGGUAACGGAGGAUUAGGGUUCGAUUCCGGAGAGGGAGCCUGAGAAACGGCUACCACAUCUAAGGAAGGCAGCAGGCGCGUAAAUUACCCAAUACUAAUUCAGUGAGGUAGUGACAAGAAAUAACAGACCAGGGUUCUACCCUGGGACUGCAAUGAGCCUAAUUUACACCCCUUAGCGAGGAUCAAU
RNAcentral lists this ribosomal RNA (508 nucleotides) under uncultured marine eukaryote. RNAcentral describes it as "bacterial SSU rRNA". It matches the Rfam family "Eukaryotic small subunit ribosomal RNA", at positions 22 to 548 of the family's 1831-position model. The record is from RNAcentral.